Molecule: transfer RNA, 80 nt
Filed under: Astragalus pallasii
Lineage: Eukaryota; Viridiplantae; Streptophyta; Magnoliopsida; Fabales; Fabaceae
Description: tRNA-Leu
Source: RNAcentral
AGCAUAUAUAUAUAUAUAUGCUAAAUUUUUUAGAAUGUAUGUAUUAAAUUAAUUCUUAAUUAAUAUUCCAAUUGAUUCUU